RNAcentral lists this unclassified non-coding RNA (528 nucleotides) under Hevea brasiliensis (rubber tree). The record is from RNAcentral. Lineage: Eukaryota; Viridiplantae; Streptophyta; Magnoliopsida; Malpighiales; Euphorbiaceae.
UUUUUUUUGUUUUUAAUUUUUUUUAGUAUUAGAGUUUUUUUUAAUGAGUUAAUUUUUCGUAUGAGGUGGUUAAAGUAUUGGAGUUUUAGUUUUAGUAUUAGUUUUUUUAAUGAAUAUUUAGGAUUGAUUUUUUUUAGGAUGGAUUGGUUGGAUUUUUUUGUAGUUUAAGGGAUUUUUAAGAGUUUUUUUUAAUAUUAUAGUUUAAAAGUAUUAAUUUUUUGGUAUUUAGUUUUUUUUAUAGUUUAAUUUUUAUAUUUAUAUAUGAUUAUUGGAAAAAUUAUAGUUUUGAUUAGAUAGAUUUUUGUUGGUAAAGUAAUGUUUUUGUUUUUUAAUAUGUUGUUUAGGUUGGUUAUAAUUUUUUUUUUAAGGAGUAAGUAUUUUUUAAUUUUAUGGUUGUAGUUAUUAUUUGUAGUGAUUUUGGAGUUUUUUAAAAUAAAGUUUGAUAUUGUUUUUAUUGUUUUUUUAUUUAUUUUUUAUGAAGUGAUGGGAUUAGAUGUUAUGAUUUUAGUUUUUUGAAUGUUGAGUUUU